UAACCGGGGUAGGACCGGUAGUAAGAAAAGGUAGUACUUACUUAGCUAGGAUGGAGGCAUGGAAAGAAAUUGAAAUGUCUAAGCCUAUCGACAAAAAUCUGGGUAAGCCAGGUGAGCAACUUAGAAGGCUGUAAUGAGA
Non-coding RNA from Clostridium grantii DSM 8605, 139 nucleotides. Lineage: Bacteria; Bacillati; Bacillota; Clostridia; Eubacteriales; Clostridiaceae. The record is from Rfam.